RNAcentral lists this long non-coding RNA (8658 nucleotides) under Setaria italica (foxtail millet). RNAcentral's name for it is "long non-coding RNA (SITA_LNC004846)". Lineage: Eukaryota; Viridiplantae; Streptophyta; Magnoliopsida; Poales; Poaceae. The record is from RNAcentral.
CACGGCGCAGUGCCUCGUACUGGAAGUCGUCGAGGACGUCGUCGGCCUGGUACGCGGCGGCCUUGAGCUCCUUCAUCCACGUCCGGACGGCGUGGUUGGUCUCGCUCUUCGCCUCGGCGUCGGCCAGCAAGGACUGCACGUACACCAGGUGGCGCUCGAGCUUGAGGCGGUCCUGGUCGACGCCCCACAUGCGAGUGAUGCUCUGCACGAGGGCGUCAGCCGCCUUGCCGACGACGCCGCGCACCACGGGGAGCAGCAGCGACUCUGCCAUGUUUCCUUGCUCGCAGGGCUUCCUUGCUCUUCCUCAACGGCUCAACCACAGGGAGAUCUGAGAAGAGGCAAACUGUGUGCGACUCCUUAACAAACUCCCCAAAAAUUGCAAGUUGUGCCUGGCACUGCAAAAGAAAAAAAAAACAUUAGCAUUUAUGCCCGCUGUUGCACAGUGAUCCUGGCUGAGAACAAGAACUGAAAUGGACACGAAACAAAUAAAUUUCAAUGCAGAAAAUUAGAAACGAAAAUGGAAAUAAACGAGAAUAUUACAGAAUCCAUUCCCCACCGAACCAAGAACAGAGAAGAAAGCUCGAGAAUGCAAGAAACCAAAGAAAUGAAAAAGUGAAUGAUUUACCCCCCAAAAACUCACCCUUUCUCGCACCAGCCGCCGCACCCAAUGACCCAGUGGAGGAGCGGAGGAGGGAACAAAACCAAGGUCCUGGACUCCUGGUGGAGAUAUCGGUCGGAGCCCUCCUGGCUUUUCUUGGUUUGGCCCCUCUCUCUUUCGUAGAGCUCACUUUCAGGCUUCGCCACUUCUGCUUGGCCGCCGCUGAUGGGAGAAGACUGUCGAACAAAUAUGCCAACUGCCACCCUGACCUCAAGUUGGUAGGGUUGGGUCCUUUAUUUCUUAUGGGAAUAGAUUAUUGCUACCUGGCAGCCUUCUAUUGGCUGCAAUUUUCCUUUCCUGUCAAUGUUCGUUUGUGGAGGUUCUCUGAGGAAAAAAGAUUGGUUUGCGGCGCUCUUUGCCUCUAUCAUCAAUUCAAUCAAAGGAAAGAUCAAUAAAGAAAAAGAAAACAUGUGUACAAAAUGAAGAAGAUAUGACACUACUUUAUUUUCAUGUAUCUAUCUAAGAAUAGUAGAAAGUAGAAACAUUCCAGCUUUAUUCUGAAUACAGUAAAAUUUAGUGAAGAACUAAAAUAACUGUAAGAAGGUAAAGCGUGGUCCUUAGAUAAGGAAAUAUUACAAACUAAUCUUAAGCUGCAAACAAUGGAAGGUCACCUAUCACUGUCCAGAGAGGCUAGUAUGCUGUUGUAACAGUAAGGUUUAGCUAGCUCACAUUUUUCUCUAAAGAUUAGCUGUUGCAUGGUAACUCUUGCAAUUAAGCAGUAGCUAACAAUGCUAGUUAAGCAGUACACAGCCAAUUCACAAUGUAAAGAAAUGGUUUUGACCAGUGUUUGCUGUUUAGCACACAUGGUCAGCAAAAACACCAUCCGAUACUUUUAUCACUAACAGAGAGCAUAAAGAAAACUUAGUGGGUGCUGGUCCUUUUCACCCCUUUAAUCUCCCUUUUAUCCCCUAAAUCCUUUUACUAACAAUCUUUCAAUGAUGUUGCCGGCCGGCCACCAUCACACUCACCGGUAAAGGUAAAAAGCAGAUAAACAAACUCGCAUUAAGAAAACCAAAAUCACCAUACGUUGCACGUGAUGAUGCCGAUCGAGUAUUAGCUCGCAACAUUAUAUAUCCUGGGCCCACAUGACACCAUGGUGAGUGGUGCUAAUAGUAAACUUAUGUCCUGGAUCUUGGGGCCCCACGUGUGUGGGCUCCUGCAGCCGAAAGCCUCCAAGGCAAGGCAUGAUCACUUAGCGAGGAAGAACGUGGUGGUGGUUUCAUGGUGGAGAAGAGUACAAGAACGCAUGUGCCUUCCUGUCUCCAUUGCUUUGUCAUAAAAAAAAUGAUGUAUUUUCUUUAAAUAGUAUGAGUGUGCCUUUAGGUUGGCAAAAGCUCAUCCAUUUUCUAUUUUUCUUUCAAAGGUUAUGUAAAAACUCAAGUACUCAUAAUUUCAAGCAUGUAUGUGAGUAAAAGAAUUCAGUAACACAAAAGCUAUGGAUAUCUGAAUUUGGUAGGAGUAGAUUGAAGACUGCAUUAUUUUUGCUGUUUACUGUUCUGAUGACAACUUACAGAGCCACCUGAAAGCGUAGGGUUUUUUUUUAGAGAGAGCAUGUGAAAUCUCCAAUUAAUGAGAAGAGCAUAUAUGUUUGUGUCCCAAAACGAAAUAAUGGGACAGACAUCUCCCAGGAUCAUGUUAAAUAAUGCUAGGCGCAUCAUGUGAUGAGAGCACCUAAUCCGGGCCUUUUUUAUGUGUAGGUGACAGGGGUCACGCCACCUAAUGCGACUCUGCAAACAAUUCUUUACGGACGCCUGGCUGCUGCCUGCGCCCCGUGAGUGCCAUCAGUAGAGUAUUCAGCAACUUGCUGCUUGAUUUGCUGCCUGCGCCCCAUGAGCAUGCACCUACUGGGCUGGCUUCACUCCUGGCCCGCUUCGGCGGCAAAUUAAAUGGCCCCAAAGCGAGAGGGAGGUGGUGAAGGUAAGGAAGCUUGAGCUGGAAUAGAUGGGAACGAGGAAAGCAACCAGUGAAGACUGAAGAAGCGGAAUUAUGGGGAUACUAGUAGGAGAAAGAACAGGUGGCUGAUAUUCUGGUCACCAAUGUCAAUUGUCAACUGAAGCUGGACAAAAGCGAGUGGGUGACACUGAAAAGUAUAAGACUAAUGGGAGAACGCUACGCGCACAAGUUGACUGACUUGUGUGCGUGCCAAUAGACCAAUAAUAGUAGUUGACUGGUUGAGUGUCAGCAUCUCCGUGGGGGAGGAACCCGUUCAGGCAUUUCUACAAGCACAGCGCGUGCAGCUACAGGAGGGGAGAGAGGAAUGGAAUAUGUGAGAACAGGAGCUUAGAAGAAAGAGGAUACGACCUGAUGCGAGGGCAGCACUUGGUACUCGGCGAGCUCAGUGCGCCACCACUACUGUCAAACUUGGACUGCAACAGCAUCGGUGUAUACAGCUCCAUCUGUUUCCUGAAUUCCUGUGAGCCGGAUAAAAAAAUGACGGUCACAAUCGCUGUCAGUGGAAGAAAUACAGGAUCACAAAUUCACACUGAUUAUAGAUAAAGGCAGUGCGCACGCGCUCCCAAUGUGACUAUGUGAGCCAGCCGGCCGGCCAGGCGUUUUUACAGCAACAGGGAUGGGCGGUCGAGAUGGGCAAGCGGCGAUGGCCACCAACUGGAGGAAAGAAAUUGGAUUGCACAACCAGACAGGAGACAGCCAGCGCGUGCGCUCGGUGUGACGAGAAGUCCCAUGGCCCGCUGGGUAAUUUCUACGAGCACCCCGCGUUCAUAGCACAGCAAACAUCCGGCGGACCGAGAGUGUGCGGGACCUGAGGAAGAGCAGAGCAACCAUCCGGCGGCCGGCGUGCGCCCAACGAAGGACCAGCAGGGGCGCGAGCGGCGGCGGCCCAAGGGCCCCAGCAGCAGUUGAUGAACAGACGCGCGGUCGCUGCGCGGUUAACCCGGCGCCCGGCGGGAUCGGGAGAAUCAAACCGCCUUGUCAUUUGCUGGGCCGGACGAGGAGCGAAGGAUGCUUGUGUGGCAAACAGUUUCAGUGUGCGGCUGCUCGAGAUUAAGUGUGGCAAACAGUUUCAGUAAUCGCUUGCACACAAAACAACAAACUUCCUUAGCUCUCUGGUAGCAAAAUUUGGCCAUAACCAAUUCCACGGCAAGGUGAAAACUCUCUGAUUACAGGGUCAAACAGAUACUAUAAAAUCUCAGAGUUCUGGACAUCAUUUGCAAACAACAAAUAAAUCGUCCGAGACCCAACCUCCGGUGGAUGCUCUCUUUCUUGGGCGUAUUUUCAAACACGGCUCUUGUUCUCGACACGAGAUGAUCUAACUGCAUGAUCACAACAUGAUUCUAGUCCCCUCAUCAAGAUAUGCACACAGGCCCGCAUGCCACCACUCAGCUGUGCGUUGAGCAGAAUUUGAGGUAUCACGAUGUUCCGAGUUUUCUUCAUCCCAGUGUUUUCUUCAUGUGCUCGAUCAUCCUGCACUGCUGCACAAGGGCAAGCAAUCAAUUAGUCCCAGUAUUCAUGCACGGGUCACAUUAUGACCGCAGAUCAAAUAUUUCACCACAAUGAAGUUUCACUAUUGUAACCUGCAGUUCACAUAAUAUAUAUAUGGCUCUAACGAUGUAAAACGGAUUAAUCAGGAAGCAAAGCCACCAUUAUUUUACCAUGGUACUCCUACCGAUCUACCGAUUAAUCAUGUAAAACGGAUUAAUCAGGAAGCGCACUUGCACAUUUCUGAUGAACAGCACAUUUCUGAUUAAUCCGGUGUUGGACUAGAUGUUCACCUGUGCAUUUCACGUGCCUUGAUCAGCGAGACAAGAAGAAGCUUCCGUGGCACAGAAUGGAACAGGCUUGUAAUUUUUUGUAUUGUCCUUUGCCGAGAAACGAUAAUGCUUAUGCAGCACAAAACCGCGUCCAGUGAUGAGUCCAAACCCAACUGAACUUCAAGUGCAGUCAAUCUGAUGACAUACUGAAAAGAAUGGAGUCAAUAUGCAUUCAGAACAAUGAUGUGAGCUAGAUCAAUAGCAGAAUUAGUUGACGGGAGAGGCGAAGCACCAGCAUACAUACCUCAGUUGCCUUGAGAACCACCACCGCACGAGGGAAGGAACCACUUUCGUACGUGCCCUUUAUGUAUAGCUUCAAUGUAUUUAUCGCGAAUAGAAGCGGUCAAGUCAAAGUACUCCCCACCUUCUCUGCAACGCCUCUGCAGGUCAGGGCAGCCAUAUAUGGAUAGGUAUUCGAGGGCUGGGAGCCGGUGCAGGAGACCCUGCGGAAAUUUCUCUAUCCCUGGACAGUCUCCAAUAGUCAACAGCUCAAGGGAAGUGAGACCAUCCAUCCCAUCUGGCAACGCUUUCAGUGCAACGCACCACCGCACAGAGAGUCUCCUCAGCUUGGUCAGAUCUCCGAGGUUUGAAGGCAGCGCCACCAAACUUCUGUUGUUGUCAAUCCAGAUUUCCUCGAGGGAUGCGGGAAACUUGGGGAGCAGAGGAAGGAUUCCGUCAAGUUUGGAGCAACGACAAAUGUGCAGAGCUCGAAGGUGAGGAAAACAACGGAGUUCCUCCACGGGCCAGCGGACAAUAUUGCAGCUGAUAUUCAAUUCUUCCACAGAGACCAACCAGUCCCUAAGCCCAAGUUGCAAUUUGGAUUUAUUAAAUAUCGUUAUGAAGACGUUGUCACCCUCAAGCUCCAAAGAUCGUAGUGUGUUCAAAGGUCUUUGACUCGGGCUUUCCUGAUCGUCUGGAGGCAUCACCACAUCUACCAGCAAAAGUGAUAUUUUCAAGUGGAUAAGAGAUGGCAAAGAGCCCAAAGGCAUGCGCAUCGAAAUAAGAGCUCCUGUAGAAUUAUUCCCUUCGCGACCAAAUAGAUUGAGAUAUGUGAGAACCGGUAACCUUGGGAGACUUGCAAGCUUAUCACAAUUCCCAAUUACUAGUUUUUCAAGCUGGGAAAACAUCACCGAGCUAAGAAUCUCUCCAGCACUAUUUUCUGCCCAUCUGUCCAACUCAGGCAAAGCAAUUAAUUCCAUCCUCUUUAGCUUGGGGAAUAUUUGCAGAGAGGUAUUGUCAGCUUCAGCUUCCAAGUCGAUGUUCUUACACAACGUGGUCAAACUUUCCAUGUCCCGUAAAGAUAAAUGCUCAAGAGAGGAUGACAACCAUACUAUUGGCAGGUCCUUACACCAUGGGCAUCCGGACAUAAUAAGUUCUCUCAAGCACCGGAACAUUUGAGGGUUUCUCAUCCAUUGCGAGAUUGUGAGGCCACCGUAACUAUGCACCUCCAAACUUUUUAGCUUAUCAUGAGGUACAAGAGAUUCCAUACUUGUUCAUGAUUAGUAGCCUCACGAAAAUGAUCCCAAUACAACAACAAUUCAUUUAGAUUAUGUUUCUCAUGGAGAUUGGCCUUCGACCCACACUUUACUUCCUGCAAAUUAUACAGUUCCAACCUGCCGCCAAUCUGUCGUAGGUCUUCGAGCUCCUCGAUUCCACAUCCAUCUUUUGUGCCCACAACAAAUCUUGUUAGUGUGCGAAGGUUGUGUAGUACACUAAGUUUUGGGGGCAUUCGUUCCAAGCUACCACACCCCAAGAGAUAAAUAUGGCAGAGCUUCCUCAUAGUUCUCAUACCCUCAGGUAAAUAUUGUAGUAGGGAGCAGUGAUUAAGCCUCAAAGACAGUAAGUUAUACAACAUACAGAUUGAGUUUGGCAAGCUAACAAUACUCGAGUAAGAGAGAUCAAGAUACCGCAAAUGUGCUGUGCGUGUGAGCAUAUGGACGAUUGAAGUAUCUCUACAAAGAAUACUCAAUGCUCUUGAUGGCAUCAGUUUUGACUUCAUCAGAUCCUUGUACGAUGAUGGUGGCAUCAACAGUGUGCGAAGAUACAUAGUGCCUCCCAGUAACUGGCUGAUUUUGUUCAAUUGAUAAUUUCCCCGAAUAUGCAAGUGAUGGACGUCAUUUACAGGCAUGUUUUGCUGAAUUAACUCUUCCGCAUUUGCACAUUCAUUUGCAACAUCUUUUGCAAGGUCAUGCAUCAAGUCGUGCAUUUUACAUCCAUUUAUCUCUUGUUUUGAGGCAUGCAUAAAAUAGGGCUCCCUCACUAAUAUCACAUCUUGGAAAAAGGACCUCCAAGCCAACUCGUUGAAGAUAUAUUCCCCUUUUUGUGUCAAGUCCAUCGUCCCCUCUUCAUGAAGAUAACCGUUUGCCAUCCAUAGUUGAAUCAACAUGUCCUUCUCCAUCUCAUAGUCCUUGGGGAAAAGUGAACAGAAGGCAAAGCAUUGCUUCAUCUCAGGGGACAAGUGCUUGUAGCUCAGUUUUAGUAUGGGCAAUACCUCAUCUUUACCUCUAUUGGUAUCACUAAUAUUGCAAUCUGCAAUGGCCUCCCAUUCCUCGAUUUGUUGUUUUGAACUCAUCAAUCCACCCAUUGUCUUCAGUGCAAGAGGCAGUCCCUUGCACUUGUUGCUGAUACAUCUGCCAAUUUUGACAAACUUUGCUUGCUCUUGCACUCCUUUACUAAAUGCUUUCUUUGAGAACAAUUCCCACGAAUCAUCUUCACUCAAACACACUAAUUCAUGAGGUGGAAGGGUGCCCAUUAUUGACGCCACUUGUCGGCUUCUACUUGUGACAACUAUUGUGCUUCCUGAUCCACCAAUUGAAGAACAGAGUAGCGGCCUCAAGUCAUCCUCCCACUUGUUUUGGUCUUCGUUCCACACAUCGUCGAGAAUGAGUAGGAACCUUUUGCGGCCAAUAGCUUCCUGCAGUUUUCCUCGCAGAAGCUCGAUCGUGUCAGGCAGACCACAUGUGCUAUUUGUAGCCAACUCAAUUACAGAUCUAACAAGAGGAAUAGCUUCAAAAUUUUCUGACACGCAGUGCCACAUCCUCAAUUCAAAGUGCUUCUGAAUUUUGUCGUUGUUGUACACCAUCUUGGCUAGCGUGGUCUUGCCCACACCCCCCAUUCCAAGGAUGGGCAGCACUUGUACAUCCUGCUGAUCUUGCUGGUCCAGCAACAGUUCCACCACCCCAUCUUUGUCACCUUCUCUGCCAAAUAUCUCCAUGGAUUCAUCCAGCGCUGAGUGCGUCUGCCGAGGAAGAGCUUGCGGCGGCGCCUCCGGAAGCGCCACCAGGCCAAACUUUGUCAUCUCGGUCACGAGCUCGUCAAUCUUUUCGAGCACGUUCUUCAGGUCUCUGCUCGCUUUAUGACGGAAUACAAGACGAUUCUUUGAGGUGAAGUUGCUCAGUAUCUUGCUUGCCAUGGACUGGCCGCUCAGGGCCUCACGGCGCAGCGCCUCGUACUGGAAGUCGUCGAGGACGUCGUCGGCCUGGUACGCGGCGGCCUUGAGCUCCUUCAUCCACGUCCGGACGGCGUGGUUGGUCUCGCUCUUCGCCUCGGCGUCAGCCAGCAAGGACUGCACGUACACCAGGUGGCGCUCGAGCUUGAGGCGGUCCUUGUCGACGCCCCACAUGCGAGUGAUGCUCUGCACGAGAGCGUCAGCCGCCUUGCCGACGACGCCGCGCACCACGGGGAGCAGCAGCGACUCUGCCAUGUUUCCUUGCUCGCAGGGCUUCCUUGCUCUUCCUCACAGGCUCAACCACAGGGAGAUCUGAGAAGAGGCAACAGGUGAUGGAAACAAGGAAGAGACUUGCUGGUAGGUGCAAUAAUGCAAGCUGGACUGAAGGCAAGUGGGUAACAGUGACGGGGAAGAUAUUUCGUGGCAAUUGUUGACUUGCAUCAUUGCGUGGCAAUUGAUCGCAUCGGUGCACAAGCUCAAUAAAUGAUUUCAUCCGGUACAAAAUAAGAGGCGGAACGAUGCAGAGCAAAGGAAACCACAGCACUACAGCGAAGGACAGCACACGCUCCCGCUCCCAAUGCAAGCCAUCCGGUCAGGCAUUUUUACAAGCACCCGGCGCGCCCGACUACAAGAUAGGACAGGGAAUGCGGUCAACGAAAUUGAAAGGAGAGAAGGAAGCAGGUGCGGUCGGCUAGCUCUGGUGCGCGCCGGGGCCGAAGACGCAGCCCAGGCCGACCAGCCGACGCCGACGCAUGGCGAGAUAGGCCAACGGAGGACCUCGC